CAUCCACGGCCAUGGGACUCUG
RNAcentral lists this ribosomal RNA (22 nucleotides) under Tricholoma matsutake. Lineage: Eukaryota; Fungi; Basidiomycota; Agaricomycetes; Agaricales; Tricholomataceae. The record is from RNAcentral.